AGGUUAUCACGAGUGAACGAGAGCACGGGCUCAUUGACUUCACAGCAACCUGCCAGCCGGUAAGGUGCUACAACCUGCAAAGCAUGGCUUUGAAUGAUAACGA
The sequence is a non-coding RNA, 103 nucleotides long. It matches the Rfam family "SAM riboswitch aptamer (S box leader)". Rfam says of the family: The SAM riboswitch is found upstream of a number of genes which code for proteins involved in methionine or cysteine biosynthesis in Gram-positive bacteria. The SAM riboswitch acts at the level of transcription termination control. The predicted structure consists of a complex stem-loop region followed by a single stem loop terminator region.